RNAcentral lists this ribosomal RNA (378 nucleotides) under uncultured Anaplasma sp. RNAcentral describes it as "bacterial SSU rRNA". It matches the Rfam family "Bacterial small subunit ribosomal RNA", at positions 90 to 503 of the family's 1533-position model. Lineage: Bacteria; Pseudomonadati; Pseudomonadota; Alphaproteobacteria; Rickettsiales; Anaplasmataceae. The record is from RNAcentral.
GGUUAGUGGCAGACGGGUGAGUAAUGCAUAGGAAUCUGCCCAGUAGUAUGGGAUAGCCACUAGAAAUGGUGGGUAAUACUGUAUAAUCCCUGCGGGGGAAAGAUUUAUCGCUACUAGAUGAGCCUAUGUUAGAUUAGCUAGUUGGUGGGGUAAUGGCCUACCAAGGCUGUGAUCUGUAGCUGGUCUGAGAGGAUGAUCCGCCACACUGGAACUGAGACACGGUCCAGACUCCUACGGGAGGCAGCGGUGGGGAAUAUUGGACAAUGGGCGCAAGCCUGAUCCAGCUAUGCCGCGUGAGUAAGGAAGGCCUUAGGGUUGUAAAACUCUUUCAGUGGGGAAGAUAAUGACGGUACCAACAGAAAAAGUCCCGGCAAACUC